AACGAACGCUGGCGGCAUGCCUAACACAUGCAAGUCGAACGAGACCUUCGGGUCUAGUGGCGCACGGGUGCGUAACGCGUGGGAACCUGCCCUUAGGUUCGGAAUAACUCCCCGAAAGGGGUGCUAAUACCGGAUAAUGUCUUCGGACCAAAGAUUUAUCGCCUUUGGAUGGGCCCGCGUUGGAUUAGCUAGUUGGUAGGGUAAAAGCCUACCAAGGCGACGAUCCAUAGCUGGUCUGAGAGGAUGAUCAGCCACACUGGGACUGAGACACGGCCCAGACUACUACGGGAGGCAGCAGUGGGGAAUAUUGGAAAAUGGGCGAAAGCCUGAUCCAGCAAUGACGCGUGAGUGAUGAAGGCAUUAGGGUUGUAAAGCUCUUUUACCCGGGAUGAUAAUGACAGUACCGGGAGAAUAAGCUCCGGCUAACUCCGUG
Molecule: ribosomal RNA, 433 nt
Filed under: uncultured bacterium
Lineage: Bacteria
Description: partial 16S ribosomal RNA
Rfam family: Bacterial small subunit ribosomal RNA
Source: RNAcentral